Molecule: ribosomal RNA, 377 nt
Filed under: uncultured bacterium
Lineage: Bacteria
Description: bacterial SSU rRNA
Rfam family: Bacterial small subunit ribosomal RNA
Source: RNAcentral
UGGGUUGUAAACUACUUUUAUACAGGAAGAAACGUACCCUCGUGAGGGUGCCUGACGGUACUGUAGGAAUAAGCACCGGCUAACUCCGUGCCAGCAGCCGCGGUAAUACGGAGGGGUGCGAGCGUUAUCCGGAUUUAUUGGGUUUAAAGGGUCCGUAGGCGGAUUAAUAAGUCAGUGGUGAAAUCCCAUCGCUUAACGAUGGAACUGCCAUUGAUACUGUUAGUCUUGAAUGAGGGUGCAGUGGUUGGAAUGUGUAGUGUAGCGGUGAAAUGCAUAGAUAUUACACAGAACACCGAUUGCGAAGGCAGAUCACUAACCCUAAAUUGACGCUGAGGGACGAAAGCGUGGGGAGCGAACAGGAUUAGAUACCCUGGUAG